This 445-nucleotide ribosomal RNA is filed under the name uncultured soil bacterium. RNAcentral describes it as "bacterial SSU rRNA". It matches the Rfam family "Bacterial small subunit ribosomal RNA", at positions 26 to 518 of the family's 1533-position model. The record is from RNAcentral.
AGAACGAGCGCUGGCGGCAUGCCUAAUACAUGCAAGUCGAACGAACUCUUCGGAGUUAGUGGCGCACGGGUGCGUAACGCGUGGGAAUCUGCCCCUUGGUUCGGAAUAACAGUUGGAAACGACUGCUAAUACCGGAUGAUGACGAAAGUCCAAAGAUUUAUCGCCAAGGGAUGAGCCCGCGUAGGAUUAGCUAGUUGGUGAGGUAAAGGCUCACCAAGGCAACGAUCCUUAGCUGGUCUGAGAGGAUGAUCAGCCACACUGGGACUGAGACACGGCCCAGACUCCUACGGGAGGCAGCAGUAGGGAAUAUUGGACAAUGGGCGAAAGCCUGAUCCAGCAAUGCCGCGUGAGUGAUGAAGGCCUUAGGGUUGUAAAGCUCUUUUACCCGAGAUGAUAAUGACAGUAUCGGAGAAUAAGCCCCGGCUAACUCCGUGCCAGCAGCCGC